RNAcentral lists this ribosomal RNA (427 nucleotides) under uncultured bacterium. RNAcentral describes it as "bacterial SSU rRNA". It matches the Rfam family "Bacterial small subunit ribosomal RNA", at positions 917 to 1345 of the family's 1533-position model. The record is from RNAcentral.
GGGCCCGCACAAGCGGUGGAGUAUGUGGUUUAAUUCGAUGCAACGCGAAGAACCUUACCAGGGUUUGACAUCCUGCGAAUCUCUUGGAAACGAGAGAGUGCCUUCGGGAACGCAGUGACAGGUGGUGCAUGGCUGUCGUCAGCUCGUGUCGUGAGAUGUUGGGUUAAGUCCCGCAACGAGCGCAACCCACGUCUUUAGUUGCCAGCAUUUAGUUGGGCACUCUAGAGAGACCGCCGGUGAUAAACCGGAGGAAGGUGUGGAUGACGUCAAAUCAUCACGGCCCUUACGUCCUGGGCCACACACGUGCUACAAUGCUACGGACAAAGAGCAGCAAGUUCGCGAGGACAAGCAAAUCUCAUAAACCGUGGCUCAGUUCAGAUCGUAGGCUGCAACUCGCCUACGUGAAGGAGGAAUCGCUAGUAAUCGC